UAGACUGCGGAUGGCUCAUUAAAUCAGUUAUGGUUCCUUAGAUCGUACACAUCCUACUUGGAUAACUGUGGCAAUUCUAGAGCUAAUACAUGCAAACCAGCUCCGACCCGUCAGAGGGGAAGAGCGCUUUUGUUAGCCUAAAGCCAAACCGGGCUCGCCCGUCAAACGGCGACUCGGUAUGCUAGUGGUGACUCCGAACAACUUUGCCGAUCGCAGGCCCUAGAGGCGGCGACGAGUCUAUCAAGUGUCUGCCCUAUCAACUGUCGAUGGUAAGCGCUAUGCCUACCAUGGUGAUAACGGGUAACGGGGAAUCAGGGUUCUGAUUCCGGAGAGGGAGCAUGAGACACGGCUACCACAUCCAAGGACGGCAGCAGGCGCGCAAAUUACCCAAUCCCGACACGGGGAGGUAGUGACGAAAAAUAACAAUACGGGACUCUUU
This 439-nucleotide ribosomal RNA is filed under the name Mactra corallina. Its description in RNAcentral is "bacterial SSU rRNA". It matches the Rfam family "Eukaryotic small subunit ribosomal RNA", at positions 83 to 496 of the family's 1831-position model. Lineage: Eukaryota; Metazoa; Mollusca; Bivalvia; Venerida; Mactridae. The record is from RNAcentral.